This is a long non-coding RNA of Erigeron canadensis, 421 nucleotides long. RefSeq lists it as uncharacterized. The record is from RefSeq and is a predicted model, not a curated record. Lineage: Eukaryota; Viridiplantae; Streptophyta; Magnoliopsida; Asterales; Asteraceae. The transcript is spliced from 3 exons.
UUAUAGUUUAUAUACUCGUAUCAAAGUAGAUAUAGAUAUUAGAGAUUUAGAGAGUAGGAAGACACGGGCGAUUGAGUAGACCUGAGAGAGCCCCCAUCAAAAGCCGAUAUCUUACCAUUAAAAGCAGAUUGAAGAAUACAUAUCGGGUUGAGAGAAUACCGACGGAUUCAUCAAGCUCAAAAGAUUUUAGAAGACUUAUGACUAGAUCAAGAGCUCUCCGAGCACUUACAGGACACGCCUAGCUAGCGUGAUUGAGGAGGAGAUAAACUUAAAAUCAUGGACCCGAAAAAGCUUAAUCUGAUCGAAAACAUGACUUUUGACAGGAAUGAUAUAUACUUAUUAAAAUUAGGGUAGACAAAUGGGAAGUAUAGACUUCCUUUUGCUUAUUCAUAGGUUUCUAGAACGAGCUGAUCGAGGAUUA